This 165-nucleotide ribosomal RNA is filed under the name uncultured bacterium. RNAcentral describes it as "partial 16S ribosomal RNA". It matches the Rfam family "Bacterial small subunit ribosomal RNA", at positions 1334 to 1500 of the family's 1533-position model. The record is from RNAcentral.
GCUAGUAAUGGCAGGUCAGCAUACUGCCGUGAAUACGUUCCCGGGCCUUGUACACACCGCCCGUCACACCAUGAGAGUUGGAGAUACCCGAAGCCUGUGAGCUAACAAACGAGGCAGCAGUCGAAGGUAGAAUCAAUGAUUGGGGUGAAGUCGUAACAAGGUAUC